GAAGUGAAAAUNGUCAGUUCCUGCCUUAAC
RNAcentral lists this non-coding RNA (30 nucleotides) under Homo sapiens (human). The record is from RNAcentral. Lineage: Eukaryota; Metazoa; Chordata; Mammalia; Primates; Hominidae.